AUGCUCUAAGAACCCGUCUCUUAAUUUUUAACUAAAAAAGCUAAGAACCGAUUCUUAAAUAAGAGUUUUAAGAGCAAAUUCUUAACUUUUUUAGUUAAAAGUUAAGAGACGAAUUUUUAUAUUUC
Brassica napus (rape) is the source of this 125-nucleotide non-coding RNA. The record is from Rfam. Lineage: Eukaryota; Viridiplantae; Streptophyta; Magnoliopsida; Brassicales; Brassicaceae.